Molecule: long non-coding RNA, 146 nt
Organism: Octopus sinensis (East Asian common octopus)
Lineage: Eukaryota; Metazoa; Mollusca; Cephalopoda; Octopoda; Octopodidae
Exons: 3
Source: RefSeq, a predicted model, not a curated record
UGUUGGAGUCUAGGAAGGUUGUGUGAAGACAGUUGUGUCUAUCCCCGCUUCGUGAAAUUUGCAUAUCCAACAUAUAGAAGGAUAUAAAAUAAACAAAAGUUCGCAUGUAAACCAAUAAGUGUAAUCAUUCAUUUUUUAACCCUGAA